Oncorhynchus keta (chum salmon) is the source of this 406-nucleotide long non-coding RNA. RefSeq lists it as uncharacterized. Lineage: Eukaryota; Metazoa; Chordata; Actinopteri; Salmoniformes; Salmonidae. The transcript has 3 exons. The record is from RefSeq and is a predicted model, not a curated record.
CCUGCUAACCUAGAGGGGGGGGGGGGGGCAUACACAGGAGGUCCUGUUAACCUAGAGGGGGGAUAUACACAGGAGGUGCUGUUAACCUAGAGGGGGGAUAUACACAGGAGGUCCUGUUAACCUAGAGGGGGGAUAUACACAGGAGGUGCUGUUAACCUAGAGGGGGGAUAUACACAGGAGGUCCUGUUAACCUAGAGGGGGGGGAUAUACACAGGAGGUCCUGUUAACCUAGAGGGGGGAUAUACACAGGAGGUGCUGUUAACCAAGAGGGGGGAAUAUACAGGAAGAAAAAAGGGAGGUACCAUCUGAACUUAUCCAAAAAGGAAUGCUCAUUUCAGGUUUCUGUUGCAAAACAUUUUCAUAUGUUGGGCCCAAAUGAACACAACCCAAGUUGCUGAGUCUACUG